GGCCCAUUGCGGUGCACCUACGAUGGCUGAAGUUGCGUUCUUUGCAUUCUUGCCAUUAUAAAUUAUGUCAUGAAAAUAGAGCACCAUGCUCUUACAAGGUUUCCUGGCGCGGAUUUUUCGUGUUGUUGCAGCAGUAGAUAUGGAGAGGAGGGAGAGAAGGAAGAGAAGUAGCAGAAAUCUCCUUGCUUCCAUUUUCAUUUCAGAGCAAGAAGGUUACAAAAAAAAAAAACUAUGGAAUCUGUGAUAGUAUGCUUUGAAUAAAACUUGAGCGGCUUUAUACAAGAGCUUUCAACUGCAAAACUUUUAGGUUAUUCUGUUGGUUAAUUAAAUAUGAAGUAAUGCUUGGCUUUGAAGGAAUAAUUGGAUAGCAGUAACUCCACCAAAAAGUGACUACCCUUAUCCAUUGAAUUCAAUCUGCACCCUAGGCGUUUAACUGAUCGUUUUGAUAGCGUCAGAUCAAAGAUUAGCACAAUUAUUGGAUGCUGCAGGGAGAUUUGGUAGAGCAACAUUAGUGUUCUUACUGUAUGAAUGAAAUUAUGGAAUCCUUUGACUUUAGUUAGUUGACUGUAAGCUAAAGGAUGUUAUGGUGAUAAAUGGGCAAUAUGAUCUGCGACAAUGGAAUCAGUUUCACAGUUAAUUACAAUGCAGUCUUAUUCACAGUUUUGUUUUAAAGAGAAAACGACAUUUUAAUGUUGUUAAUAUUUUGGGGAUUGAACAUGCAUUAACUUCACUUUACAACUCAUGUCACGCUAAAUAUUUAAGAAAAUAUAUAUAAAUAAGAUUCUUUAAUCUCAUAUAGGCAGAUAAGAUAAUUUUGAAAAGUUUAUAAGUAUUGAUCCUGUAAAUCUCUUCAAGUUAGUAUUUUGGACAUGUUGACAUAUCAGUGUCACAUGACAAUUUAAAAAAAUAAAUUUUUGCCACGUCAUAAGAAUUACAUUGAACAAAAAUAUAUAAUACAAGAAUUAAAUUAAACAAAAUUAAGAUAUUGAGGGACUAAAUUAAAAAAAUAUUUAAAAAAUAUAAAUUUUUAAAUAAAUUAUUGAUAUGUAUAUUAAUAAGCCAAAUAUUUAAGUGUAAAAGAUUUACAGUGUUAAAAAAUAUAUAUAUUUUCUUACUGAUUAUUUGAUUUUAAAAUAUGUAAAUUAAUUUAUCUUUUUUACAAAAACUAAGUUUGAAUUCUCCUUUUAUAAAAAAAAUUGAAAAAAUUUCAUACUUUAAGUCAAAUUUAGAUAAAUAAUUUAUAUUACGUUAAAAUAAAAUAAUAUAAAAUGACUAAAUAAAUUCUUUUUUUUUCUAUUUAUAAUAGUAUAAAAAUUUGAAAUUUAUUUAACUUAGUUUUUUACUUGAGCUAAAAUCAAAUUAGCAAAAUAUGUUGAUUUAAUUUUUUUCUUUUAAAAAGAUGAAAAUCAGAGAUAUGGAGUUAGUGAUGAUUAUAAAAAUAAUUUCUUAUUUUGAAUUGUUUAAUUUGGACAUGACAAACCUUUUAUUACAACUAUAGAAUCUGAGCUCCAUCCUUCUAAUUUUUUUAUUUUUUUAUGUUUUUAUUUUGUUUAAUAUUUCAAGUUAUAUUUUUUAAGUUGAAAUUUCAUAAAUUAAAGACUGCAAUUAUUAUUGAUAAAGUUAAAUAUAACUAUAAAUAUUUGUACCAUUUUAUUUUAUUGUAAAUUUUUUGUAGAUCUAAAUUAAUAAUUAAAUUUAAAUUUAGCAGAAUUUGAUUGUAAUGUUUGAAUUUAAAUAAAAUUGUUUUAUAAAAAAUUUUGAGUAAAUUUAAAUAAAGUAUAAAUUGGGUAAGAAUUGAAUAAUUUCAAAAGAAUGUGUAUUUAUAAAUUGUGAAAGUUGUAACUAAAUCAACAUAUUUUGCUAAUUUGAGUAAAUUUAAAUAAAAGGUAAGUUGAGUAAGUGUUGAAUAAUUUCAAAAUAAUGUGUAUUUGUAAAUUAUGAAAGUUAUAACUAAAUCAAAAUAGUUAGUUAUUUUAUAUUAUUUUAUUUUAACGUAUGCAAGGUAUUCAUUUAAAUUUGACUUUAAGUAUGAAUUUUUUUUNAGAUUUUUAUUUUUCAAAUAUUUUUUUCAAUUUAGUCCUCAACAUCUCAAUUUUUGUUCAAUUUAGACUCUGUAUUAUAUAUUUUUGUUCAAUUUAGUCCCUAUGAUGUGGCACAAAAAAAUUUUUGGAAAAUUUUUGACCUGCCACGUGCACUAACAUGUCAGCAUGUCAUUGCCACAUCAUCGUAUAGUGCCACGUUGCGUUGUCACGUCAUCACUCGAUAUCACAUCAUCAAAAUAUGUCACAUCAUCAAAAUAUGACACAUCAUCACUGAUAUCAUCGUUGACAUCAUUUUUUAACGGUAAAAUUGGAUGUCGCUGGGGAGAGGGAUUGAAUUGACGCAAUAUUCAAAAUCAAAAGAUUAAAUUACUUCGAUUUUAAGUAUAAAGACUAAAUUGAACAAAAUUAAAAAUACAGGAACUGAAUAGGUCUUUUAAUCAAAAAAAUUGAACCAACAAAUUAGCAUAUAUAACAUCAAAAUAUGUUUUUCUAUCAAUUGUCAUUAAGAAUUACUUAAUUUUUUAUUCGAAUUAUGUGCUAUUCUAUGAUGGGUGUCGAUUAAUAUUAACAAAAAGUUUAUUCCUGUAUUGUCACUAUCCUUUCAGUAAUGUUUCAACUACUUACCUUAUAUAUUUUAAUCAUACCUUAACUAUUGUUAAUGAUUUUCCUCUUUUUCCCCAUUUGGAAAUAAUAAAUCUGUCUUUUCGUUGGACUCACCAACCAAAGUAACAAAAACUCCAAAAGCAGGUAAAGGCAUCAAAUUAUAAAGGACCGUGUACUAAUGAUUCUCUUUUCUUUUUUUUUGACAAAUAAUCGAUGGUUAUCACUUAAUUGAAAAGAAUUAAUUUAUUGUUAUAUUAUCAUAAAUUAAAAAUAUGAGUUCAUAACAAGUAAUCUGAAAAUUAAAAUCGAGAUAAAUUUAAAAGUUUUUUCUUCAAUAAAUAAAAGAGUUAAUACAAUGAAGAUGUUAUAAAAUUAAAUGCGAUAAAAUGUCACGAAUUAAUACUGAUUUUGUAUGGAAAGACAUAAAAGGGUGUUAUUAAAGACAAUUGAACAAGCCAUGACAAAAACGUCAAAAAUAACGAAACCAACUUUACAACUACUGUUCUUAAUUUCUUUCUAUCCACACUACCUAGUAGACAAGGACUACGUACCAACAUGGGGGAGAGAGAAGUAAAGCAACUGUGCCUCUGCUAAAGCAAUUAAAAGACUUUUAUUGUUUUUUACCGAACAUACAGCUUUGCAUAACAAAACAGAGACGCAAUAUUCAGAGGGCCUAACCACAAUAGAGCCUCGUACAGUGUUGCCAUUGAUGAAACUCUUCACGACUCAACAAACAAAUAUUUGGAAAAUGAAAAAUACAACUUGAAUUUGACAAUCGAUUGUUGGCAUAGCUAUAGCAAGUACUUAAACUUGUUGCCAACAUUCAUACAAUUUAAUAUCGGUACGAAGGCGAAAGUAUACUUCCCCUUCAAAGGCAUCCGUCAUCAAAGUAGCCACUCCUCUAGCCAUGAAGAAGUCACCGGUUCCACCAAUUACUGAGAUAUCCCUGGUCUUGUUCAUCAAUGGAUCAGCCCCAGCAAAGUUUAUGCUUCCCUUAUGCUCGGUAGAAUUGAAAACAAAAGAGAACCCCAACCAAGCAGUGAAAAUCUCUUUCUUAUCAUAGAAAUAAAAGCCUUGCGCACGACCAACUGGGGUUGAAUGCAGAUUGUUAUCUAAGGUAAUGGGAUCAUCAAACACAGCCAAAUCUCCAAAAUGGUUCUGUCCUGCCAAAAGGGUUCUAUUGGCCCAUUGCGGUGCACCUACGAUGGCUGAAGUUGCGUUCUUUGCAUUCUUGCCAUUAUAAAUUAUGUCAUGAAAAUAGAGCACCAUGCUCUUACAAGGUUUCCUAGCGCGGAUUUUUCGUGUUGUUGCAGCAGUAGAUAUGGAGAGGAGGGAGAGAAGGAAGAGAAGUAGCAGAAAUCUCCUUGCUUCCAUUUUCAUUUCAGAGCAAGAAGGUUACAAAAAAAAAAAAAAAAAAAACUAUGGAAUCUGUGAUAAUAUGCUUUGCAUAAAAGUUGAGCUGCUUUAUACAAGAGCUUUCAACUGCAAAACUUUUGGGUUACUCUGUUGGUUAAUUAAAUAUG
This 4168-nucleotide long non-coding RNA is filed under the name Theobroma cacao (cacao). RNAcentral describes it as "long non-coding RNA (TCAC_LNC002190)". The stretch from base 1418 to 1510 matches the Rfam family "Small nucleolar RNA snoR8a". The record is from RNAcentral. Lineage: Eukaryota; Viridiplantae; Streptophyta; Magnoliopsida; Malvales; Malvaceae.